UAACUCUCUUCCACAACUUGACAC
This 24-nucleotide non-coding RNA is filed under the name Arabidopsis thaliana (thale cress). Lineage: Eukaryota; Viridiplantae; Streptophyta; Magnoliopsida; Brassicales; Brassicaceae. The record is from RNAcentral.